This 104-nucleotide ribosomal RNA is filed under the name Glomus sp. (unid). Lineage: Eukaryota; Fungi; Glomeromycota; Glomeromycetes; Glomerales; Glomeraceae. The record is from RNAcentral.
CAGUCGUACCUGCGGAUGAUCAGCUUUUUGAGUGUGAUUAUGUGGUUUAUGAGGAGUUUAACCGCCUUCAUGUAUUCGCAUAUUUGUGCUCUUGGGUGUUACUU